Molecule: long non-coding RNA, 236 nt
Organism: Patella vulgata (common limpet)
Lineage: Eukaryota; Metazoa; Mollusca; Gastropoda; Patellidae
Exons: 3
Source: RefSeq, a predicted model, not a curated record
UAGAACACAAAUUUAAUUAUAUGGGCUUGCAGGCCGAAUUUCCAAGUGAAACAAAACAGUUUCAGACGAUGGCCGCUUCCCCAACACAAGAUUUGAAGGAAAUAAGAAUAGCAAUGGUCGGUAAAACUGGAGUAGGAAAAAGUGAAGUCGGAAACAACCUGCUACAAAAUAAGACGUUUGAGUCUUCCGCAAUUGGAACGUCUGUUACAUCGCAAUGUAAGUUUGGCACCAGAAUA